Molecule: long non-coding RNA, 748 nt
Organism: Brassica oleracea var. oleracea
Lineage: Eukaryota; Viridiplantae; Streptophyta; Magnoliopsida; Brassicales; Brassicaceae
Exons: 3
Source: RefSeq, a predicted model, not a curated record
GUGAGCUAUUGCAUGCUGGCUCAUCUCCAGUGGGUCAGUGAUGAGAGCCCCUGUUGAGGAACAUCCAGCGCUGGUUUAGAUCUCUCUCUUCUCUGAAAAUCUGUGGAGUAGGUGAUUGGAGUGCUUGCACCUGCACAGUUUGCAACAAACAGUCAGCUAGAUUGCAGCAUAUGCCUCCGGCCUGAGCCCAAGCGUCCGUGAUCAGCUGAGUGAACCCAGGAUGUUUGGUUAGGUAGUUUUGAAACUUGAAAGGUUGGGUUCCGGCUUUAGGUAACUGAUAGGCUAGGUCGGUUAAGCAAGGAGUGUGGUCUGAGACAGAAGGAGGGAGAAAGGUGGCUACAGCAUGGGGGAAGGAAGAGAUGACAUUGUUGUUUACAAGCUGCCUGUCCAAUUUCUUUGCUAUCGGGGAUUCAGGCUGGUUAUUCUUCCAAGUAUGAUUGGGGCCAUUGAAGCGCAGAUCAAAUAAUCCAGUCUGUAGGAGGCAGUCAUGAAAGAGAUACAUUUGGUGGUUUCGAGUGUUCACAGAGGGAGAUGAGUGCUCUAAGGGGAAUAAGAUUUGGUUGAAAUCACCACCAACUAGCCACAUCUUGCUCUGCAAGUCAAAGGUGGAGUGAAGCUGUAAGAGGUCGGUCCAGAGGUCGAUGCGCUCUUCUGCUAGAUUGGAAGCGUACACUGCUGUGUAGAAUAAUGGCUCUUUAUCAGGGAGAGUCAACAGACAAGUUAGAGUUUGCCUACUCUGGUGGACGAC